GACGAACGCUGGCGGCGUGCCUAAUACAUGCAAGUCGAGCGCAGGAAACUGACGGAACUCUUCGGAGGGAAGGCAGUGGAAUGAGCGGCGGACGGGUGAGUAACACGUAAGGAACCUGCCUCAAGGAUUGGGAUAACUCCGAGAAAUCGGAGCUAAUACCGGAUAGUUCAACGGACCGCAUGGUCCGCUGAUGAAAGGCGCUCCGGCGUCACCUUGAGAUGGCCUUGCGGUGCAUUAGCUAGUUGGUGGGGUAACGGCCCACCAAGGCGACGAUGCAUAGCCGACCUGAGAGGGUGAUCGGCCACACUGGGACUGAGACACGGCCCAGACGCCUACGGGAGGCAGCAGUAUGGAAUCUUCCACAAUGGACGAAAGUCUGAUGGAGCAACGCCGCGUGAGUGAUGAAGGUUUUCGGAUCGUAAAACUCUGUUGUAAGGGAAGAACACGUACGAGAGGAAAUGCUCGUACCUUGACGGUACCUUACGAGAAAGCCACGGCUAACUACGUGCCAGCAGCCGCCGUAA
RNAcentral lists this ribosomal RNA (524 nucleotides) under uncultured bacterium. RNAcentral's name for it is "partial 16S ribosomal RNA". It matches the Rfam family "Bacterial small subunit ribosomal RNA", at positions 28 to 523 of the family's 1533-position model. The record is from RNAcentral.